UACGUAGGGGGCAAGCGUUGUCCGGAUUUAUUGGGCGUAAAGCGCGUGUAGGCGGCUGGGUAGGUCCGCUGUGAAAACUUGAGGCUCAACCUCAAGAGGUCGGUGGAAACCCUCCAGCUAGAGUCCGGAAGAGGAGAAUGGAAUUCCUGGUGUAGCGGUGAAAUGCGCAGAUAUCAGGAAGAACACCAAUGGCGAAAGCAGCUCUCUGGGACGGUACUGACGCUGAGACGCGAAAGCGUGGGGAGCGAACAGG
Molecule: ribosomal RNA, 253 nt
Filed under: uncultured bacterium
Lineage: Bacteria
Description: partial 16S ribosomal RNA
Rfam family: Bacterial small subunit ribosomal RNA
Source: RNAcentral